CCUACGGGAGGCUGCAGUAGGGAAUAUUGCACAAUGGGGGAAACCCUGAUGCAGCGACGCCGCGUGAGUGAAGAAGUAAUUCGGUAUGUAAAGCUCUAUCAGCAGGGAAGAAAAUGACGGUACCUGGGUAAGAAGCCCCGGCUAACUACGGGCCAGCAACCGCGGUAAUACGUAGGGGGCCAGCGUUAUCCGGAUUUACUGGGUGUAAAGGGAGCGUAGACGGCAGGGCAAGGCUGGAGUGAAAGGCGGGGGCUCAACCCCCGGACUGCUCUGGAAACUGUACGGCUGGAGUGCAGGAGAGGUAAGUGGAAUUCCUAGGGUAGCGGUGAAAUGCGUAGAUAUUAGGAGGAACACCAGUGGCGAAGGCGGCUUACUGGACUGUAACUGACGUUGAGGCUCGAAAGCGUGGGGAGCAAACAGGAUUAGAUACCCGUGUAGUC
Molecule: ribosomal RNA, 440 nt
Filed under: uncultured bacterium
Lineage: Bacteria
Description: partial 16S ribosomal RNA
Rfam family: Bacterial small subunit ribosomal RNA
Source: RNAcentral